Molecule: microRNA precursor, 204 nt
Filed under: Oryza nivara
Lineage: Eukaryota; Viridiplantae; Streptophyta; Magnoliopsida; Poales; Poaceae
Description: MIR812 microRNA precursor family
Rfam family: MIR812 microRNA precursor family
Source: Rfam by way of RNAcentral
AAUAGAUGACAACAUUGACUUUUUCUCACAUGUUUGAUCCUUCGUCUUAUUCAAAAAAUUUAUGUAAUUAUAAUAUAUUUUGUUAUGAGUUGUUUUAUCAUUCAUAGUACUUUAAGUGUGAUUUAUAUCUUACACAUUUGCAUAAAAUUUUUAAAUAAGACGAAUGGUCAAACAUGUAAGAAAAAGUCAACAGCGUCAUCUAUU